Molecule: ribosomal RNA, 411 nt
Filed under: uncultured bacterium
Lineage: Bacteria
Description: bacterial SSU rRNA
Rfam family: Bacterial small subunit ribosomal RNA
Source: RNAcentral
UCGAGGAUCUUCGGCAAUGGGCGCAAGCCUGACCGAGCGACGCCGCGUGUGCGAUGAAGGCCUUCGGGUUGUAAAGCACUGUCGAGGGGGAUAAAAGCCGAAAGGUUUGAUUGAUCCCUGGAGGAAGCACGGGCUAAGUUCGUGCCAGCAGCCGCGGUAAGACGAACCGUGCGAACGUUGUUCGGAAUCACUGGGCUUAAAGGGCGCGUAGGCGGCUUACAAAGUCAGGGGUGAAAUCUUGCGGCUUAACCGUAAUCAGCCUCUGAUACUGGUAGGCUCGAGGGAGGUAGGGGUAUGUGGAACUUCUGGUGGAGCGGUGAAAUGCGUUGAUAUCAGAAGGAACGCCGGUGGCGAAAGCGACGUACUGGACCUCUUCUGACGCUGAGGCGCGAAAGCUAGGGGAGCAAACGG